CUACGGGGUGCUGCAGUGGGGAAUAUUGGACAAUGGGGGAAACCCUGAUCCAGCAAUGCCGCGUGUGUGAAGAAGGCCUGCGGGUUGUAAAGCACUUUCGGUUGGGAGGACUGCUUCUAGCACUAAUAUUGUUGGAAGUUGACGUUACCUUCAGAAGAAGCACCGGCUAACUCCGUGCCAGCAGCCGCGGUAAUACGGAGAGUGCAAGCGUUAAUCGGAAUUACUGGGCGUAAAGCGCGCGUAGGCGGCUAGAUCAGUCGGGUGUGAAAGCCCCGGGCUUAACCUGGGAACUGCAUCCGAUACUGUCUAGCUUGAGUACAGGAGAGGAGAGUGGAAUUCCACAUGUAGCGGUGAAAUGCGUAGAUAUGUGGAAGAACACCAAUGGCGAAGGCAGCUCUCUGGCCUGAUACUGACGCUGAGGUGCGAAAGCGUGGGGAGCAAACAGGAUUAGAUACCCCAGUAGUC
RNAcentral lists this ribosomal RNA (465 nucleotides) under uncultured bacterium. RNAcentral describes it as "partial 16S ribosomal RNA". It matches the Rfam family "Bacterial small subunit ribosomal RNA", at positions 339 to 795 of the family's 1533-position model. The record is from RNAcentral.